Grammomys surdaster is the source of this 107-nucleotide small nuclear RNA. The record is from RefSeq and is a predicted model, not a curated record. NCBI's taxonomy places the organism in Eukaryota, Metazoa, Chordata, Mammalia, Rodentia, Muridae.
GUGCUUGAUUCAGCAGCACAUAUACUAAAAUUGGAACAAUACUGAGAAGAAUUGCAUGAACUCUGUAUAACGAUGACACAGAAAUUCAUGAAGCAUUCCAUAUUUUA